Molecule: long non-coding RNA, 1779 nt
Organism: Oncorhynchus kisutch (coho salmon)
Lineage: Eukaryota; Metazoa; Chordata; Actinopteri; Salmoniformes; Salmonidae
Source: Ensembl
UCCGACUUGUUAGUCUUUCUGGUAGUUCUAGAUGGAUCUAUGGUUUACAGAUAUCUGUUUACUAAAUCUGUAGCUGAUACGAGAGCAUUUUUUUCUCCUGAUGGCCGCAGAUGUUGAAAACCUGUGUCCUCUUCACAGUGUUGUCCCCUUCACACGGUUGUGUCCGCUUUACACUGUUGUGUCUUCCUCACAGUGUUGUGCCCUCUUCAGUGUUGUGUCCUCUUCACAGUGUUGUGUCCUCUUCACCGUGUUGUGUCCUCUUCACAGUGUUGUGUCCUCUUCAGUGUUGUGUCCUCUUCAGUGUUGUGUCCUCUUCACAGUGUUGUGUCCUCUUCACAGUGUUGUGUCUCUUCACAGUGUUGUGUCCUCUUCAGUGUUGUGUCCUCUUCAGUGUUGUGCCCUCUUCAGUGUUGUGUCCUCUUCAGUGUUGGGUCCGCUUCAGUGUUGGGUCCUCUUCAGUGUUGUGUCCACUUCACAGUGUUGGGUCCUCUUCAGUGUUGUGUCCUCUUCACAGUGUUGUGUCCUCUUCACAGUGUUGUGUCCGCUUCAGUGUUGUGUCCUCUUCAGUGUUGUGUCCUCUUCACAGUGUUGUGUUCUCUUCAGUGUUGUGUCCUCUUCACAGUGUUGUGUCCACUUCAGUGUUGUGUCCUCUUCAGUGUUGUGUCCACUUCAGUGUUGUGUCCUCUUCAGUGUUGUGUCCUCUUCAGUGUUGUGUCCUCUUCACAGUGUUGUGUCCUCUUCACAGUGUUGUGUCCUCUUCACAGUGUUGUGUCCUCUUCAGUGUUGUGUCCUUUUCAGUGUUGUGUCCUCUUCAGUGUUGUGUCCUCUUCAGUGUUGUGUCCUUUUCAGUGUUGUGCCCCUUCACAGUGUUGUGUCCUCUUCACAGUGUUGUGUCCUCUUCACUGUUGUGCCCUCUUCACAGUGUUGUGUCCUCUUCACAGUGUUGUGCCUUCUUCACAGUGUUGUGCCCUCUUCACAGUGUUGUGUCCUCUUCACAGUGGUGUGCCUUCUUCACAGUGUUGUGUCCUCUUCAGUGUUGUGUCCUCUUCACACUGUUGUGUCUCUUCACAGUGUUGUGCCCUCUUCAGUGUUGUGCCCUCUUCAGUGUUGUGUCCUCUUCAGUGUUGUGUCCUCUUCAGUGUUGUGUCCUCUUCACAGUGUUGUGUCCUUUUCAGUGUUGUGCCCUCUUCAGUGUUGUGUCCUUUUCAGUGUCGUGUGUUGUGUCCGCUUCACAGUGUUGUGUCCUCUUCAAUGUUGUGCCCUCUUCACAGUGUUGUGUCCUCUUCACAGUGUUGUGUCCUCUUCACAGUGGUGUGCCUUCUUCACAGUGUUGUGUCCUCUUCACAGUGUUGUGUCCUCUUCACACUGUUGUGUCUCUUCACAGUGUUGUGCCCUCUUCAGUGUUGUGCCCUCUUCAGUGUUGUGCCCUCUUCAGUGUUGUGUCCUCUUCAGUGUUGUGUCCUCUUCAGUGUUGUGUCCUCUUCAGUGUUGUGUCCUUUUCAGUGUUGUGUCCUUUUCAGUGUUGUGUCCACUUCACAGUGUUGUACCCUCUUCACAGUGUUGUGCCCUCUUCACAGUUGUGUCCUCUUCAGUGUUGUGUCCUCUUCAGUGUUGUGUCAUUUUCACCGUGUUGUGUCCUCUUCACCGUGUUGUGUCCCCUUCACAGUGUUGUGUCCUCUUCAGAGUGUUGUGUCCUCUUCACAGUGUUGUGUCCUCUUCAGAGUGUUGUGUCCUCUUCAGAGUGUUGUGUCCUCUUCACACUGUGGCGACCACCUGAAC